UAUACUAAAAUAGAAAUCUUAAUAAAAUAUUAAAAUAUAAACCUUAAUUAAAUCCUAGUCAAAAUCUAGUCAAACCUUGGUCAAACCUUAGACAAAUCUUAGUCAAAUCUUGAUCAAAUCUUGGUCAAAUCUUAGUCAAAUCUUAAUCAAAUCCUAAAUGGUCCUAACCAAAUCCUAAACAAAUCCUAAUCAAACUCCAAAUAAAUACUAACCAAAUCUUAAUCAAAUCUUAAAUAAAUCCUAGUCAAAUCCUAAAUAAAUCUAAUCAAAUCCUAAAAAAUCCUAGUCAAAUCCUAGACAAAUCCUAAAUAAGCCCUAACCAAAUUCUAAAAAAAUCUUAAAAAAAUUUUAGUCAAAUUUUAAUCAAAUUCUAAUCAAAUCUUAAACAAACUCUAACCAAAUCCUAAACAAAUCCUAAAAAAAUCCUAAUCAAAUCCUAUCAAAUUUUAAUCAAAUCCUAAACAAACCAAACCAAAUCCUAAAUCAAACCCUAAAUCUUAACCAAAUCCUAAUCAAAUUCUAAACAAACAAAACCAAACUCUAAACCAAACCCUAAAUCUUAAUCAAACCUUACACAAACCUUAAUGAAAUCCUAACCUAAACCAAAUCCUAAUCUUAAAAAAAUCUUAAAUCAACCCAAAAUCCUAAUCCUAACUCUAACCAAAUCUUAAUCCUAAUCAAACCUUAAAUCAACCCAAAAUCCUAACCCUAAUCCUAAAUCGAAUCCUAAUCAA
RNAcentral lists this long non-coding RNA (734 nucleotides) under Physcomitrium patens. Its description in RNAcentral is "long non-coding RNA (PPAT_LNC007409)". Lineage: Eukaryota; Viridiplantae; Streptophyta; Bryopsida; Funariales; Funariaceae. The record is from RNAcentral.